CUUGACUACUGAAGAAAACAGGUUUUCCAAAGGAAGCUCCACAGGAGGACAAAGCGCCAGAAAACCCGAGGCCUGGAUCAGAAGCGUUUCCGUUUCCGCCGGCCGCCAGGGGUGCACUGAGCACCUCCCGCUUCCUGGCCGAUGUCACAGGUUCAAGGACUUGCAGGAAAAGGAAAAAGCCACCGUCCAAUGAAGGUCCGCCCCAGCACACUGAUGGGCACGGUCCCCAGUGCAAACUCAAUGCAAUCGGAAAAUGGAACCCAUGCGCUGGAGGGACCUGUGAGGCCACCCCUUCGUCUGCUGAGUGUCCGGCUUCCUUGAGCACAGGCCCAGCCGGAACCCGCGAAGCAAGCAAUUGCCACAGGACACAAGCGGCUGCCACAUCAGGUCCUAAGGGAGGAGAAUGUCCGCCUGUCAGGCACCAGGUCCUAAGGCAGGAGAAUGUCCGCCUGUCAGGCACCAGGUCCUAAGGCAGGAGAACGUCCACCUGUCAGGGUGAACUGGCUGGCUCAGGAGGCAGCGAAGGGAAAGAGACUAGUAAUUUCACGGGAGCAGCUGAGCCCUGUCAGGAAGCUGACUGACUCCCUGAAGGCCCAGAAGGGCUGGCUGCCAGCCCGCUGCUCCUGGGAGAGCCCUGGUCACAGGCGGGAGCUCUGGCCACCUGACAGGACAGCUGUCUGCCCGCCCAGCCCAGGAGACAUGUGAGCCGUGUGUGCAAUUUACAAGUAGAAUGAGCAACACAUAUAUAAUUUAGGAAUAUAUUGCGAGCCAUGUAUGUAAUUUAGAAUUAUAUUGCAAGCCUCACAUGUGAUUUAACAUUUUUUUUCUAGUAGCCACAUUAAAAAGAUAGAAAAGAAACA
Molecule: long non-coding RNA, 860 nt
Organism: Felis catus (domestic cat)
Lineage: Eukaryota; Metazoa; Chordata; Mammalia; Carnivora; Felidae
Exons: 3
Source: RefSeq, a predicted model, not a curated record